GUUAAGUCCCGCAACGAGCGCAACCCUUAAGCUUAGUUGCCAUCAUUAAGUUGGGCACUCUAAGUUGACUGCCGGUGACAAACCGGAGGAAGGUGGGGAUGACGUCAAAUCAUCAUGCCCCUUAUGAUUUGGGCUACACACGUGCUACAAUGGACAAUACAAAGGGCAGCGAAACCGCGAGGUCAAGCAAAUCCCAUAAAGUUGUUCUCAGUUCGGAUUGUAGUCUGCAACUCGACUACAUGAAGCUGGAAUCGCUAGUAAUCGUAGAUC
This 270-nucleotide ribosomal RNA is filed under the name Staphylococcus aureus. Its description in RNAcentral is "partial 16S ribosomal RNA". It matches the Rfam family "Bacterial small subunit ribosomal RNA", at positions 1079 to 1350 of the family's 1533-position model. Lineage: Bacteria; Bacillati; Bacillota; Bacilli; Caryophanales; Staphylococcaceae. The record is from RNAcentral.